UACAGAGGGUGCGAGCGUUAAUCGGAAUUACUGGGCGUAAAGCGCACGUAGGUGGCGACGUAAGUCGGGUGUGAAAGCCCCGGGCUCAACCUGGGAAUUGCAUUCGAGACUGCAUUGCUGGAGUACGGAAGAGGAGGGCGGAAUUCCCGGUGUAGCGGUGAAAUGCGUAGAUAUCGGAAGGAACAUCAGUGGCGAAAGCGACUUCCUGGACCAAUACUGACGCUCAUGUGCGAAAGCGUGGGGAGCAAACAGG
RNAcentral lists this ribosomal RNA (253 nucleotides) under uncultured bacterium. RNAcentral describes it as "partial 16S ribosomal RNA". It matches the Rfam family "Bacterial small subunit ribosomal RNA", at positions 524 to 776 of the family's 1533-position model. The record is from RNAcentral.